UAUUUUUAAGGUGUCUAACCUGAUCAGUCCAAGCACACACAAUCUUCUCCUUCACCUGGUCAAGAAUUGUGCUUUCAACAUAUUUCACCAAAUCAGGAUACUUUUCACACACUUUCCUGAAAUGCAUAACAUAAUCGACAUAUAAUUAUUUUGUUGAAGAAUUUACUAUAUGAUUUCAUGCAUCCAUUAUUUUUUCCAUAAUCACACAUGCCUUCACCAU
RNAcentral lists this long non-coding RNA (220 nucleotides) under Lathyrus oleraceus (garden pea). RNAcentral describes it as "Pisum sativum (pea) long non-coding RNA (PSAT_LNC000776)". The record is from RNAcentral. Lineage: Eukaryota; Viridiplantae; Streptophyta; Magnoliopsida; Fabales; Fabaceae.